This 61-nucleotide transfer RNA is filed under the name Abraxas latifasciata. RNAcentral's name for it is "tRNA-Arg". Lineage: Eukaryota; Metazoa; Arthropoda; Insecta; Lepidoptera; Geometridae. The record is from RNAcentral.
AAAUGGGAAGCAAUUUGCAUUUAAUUUCGACUUAAAAGACAGGGUAUAAACCCCCCAUUUA